UACGAAGGGGGCGAGCGUUGUUCGGAUUUAUUGGGCGAAAGAGCUCGUAGGCGGUUCAGUAAGUCGGGUGUGAAAACUUUGGGCUUAACCCAAAGCGUGCAUCCGAUACUGCUGUGACUUGAGUACGGUAGGGGAGCGGGGAAUUCCUAGUGUAGCGGGUGAAAUGCGCAGAUAUUAGGAGGAACACCGGUGGCGAAGGCGCCGCUCUGG
This 210-nucleotide ribosomal RNA is filed under the name uncultured bacterium. Its description in RNAcentral is "partial 16S ribosomal RNA". It matches the Rfam family "Bacterial small subunit ribosomal RNA", at positions 524 to 732 of the family's 1533-position model. The record is from RNAcentral.